This 434-nucleotide ribosomal RNA is filed under the name uncultured bacterium. Its description in RNAcentral is "partial 16S ribosomal RNA". It matches the Rfam family "Bacterial small subunit ribosomal RNA", at positions 29 to 507 of the family's 1533-position model. The record is from RNAcentral.
AGCGAACGCUGGCGGCGGGCCUAACACAUGCAAGUCGAACGAACCUUUCGGGGUUAGUGGCGGACGGGUGAGUAACACGUGGGAACGUGCCUUUAGGUUCGGAAUAACUCAGGGAAACUUGUGCUAAUACCGAAUGUGCCCUUCGGGGGAAAGAUUAAUCGCCUUUAGAGCGGCCCGCGUCUGUUUAGCUAGUUGGUUGGGGUAAUGGCUCACCAAGGCGACGAUCAGUAGCUGGUCUGAGAGGAUGAUCAGACACAUUGGGACUGAGACACGGCCCAAACUCCUACGGGAGGCAGCAGUGGGGAAUCUUGCGCAAUGGGCGAAAGCCUGACGCAGCCAUGCCGCGUGAAUGAUGAAGGUCUUAGGAUUGUAAAAUUCUUUCACCGGGGACGAUAAUGACGGUACCCGGAGAAGAAGCCCCGGCUAACUUCGUG